RNAcentral lists this transfer RNA (70 nucleotides) under Rhadinosa nigrocyanea. RNAcentral's name for it is "tRNA-Lys". Lineage: Eukaryota; Metazoa; Arthropoda; Insecta; Coleoptera; Chrysomelidae. The record is from RNAcentral.
CAUUAGAUGGCUGAAAGUAAGCAUUGGAAUUUUAAACCAAUUUAUAGUAAAUAACAAAUACUUCUAAUGA